Molecule: ribosomal RNA, 301 nt
Filed under: uncultured bacterium
Lineage: Bacteria
Description: partial 16S ribosomal RNA
Rfam family: Bacterial small subunit ribosomal RNA
Source: RNAcentral
CAGCCGCCGCGGUAAAACGGAGGGUGCAAGCGUUAAUCGGAAUUACUGGGCGUAAAGCGUGCGUAGGUGGUGGUUUAAGUCCGUUGUGAAAGCCCUGGGCUCAACCUGGGAAUUGCAGUGGAUACUGGGUCACUAGAGUGUGGUAGAGGAUAGUGGAAUUUCCGGUGUAGCAGUGAAAUGCGUAGAGAUCGGAAGGAACAUCUGUGGCGAAGGCGACUAUCUGGGCCAACACUGACACUGAGGCACGAAAGCGUGGGGAGCAAACAGGAUUAGAUACCCCAGUAGUCCCUGUCUCUUAUAA